This 253-nucleotide ribosomal RNA is filed under the name uncultured bacterium. RNAcentral describes it as "partial 16S ribosomal RNA". It matches the Rfam family "Bacterial small subunit ribosomal RNA", at positions 524 to 776 of the family's 1533-position model. The record is from RNAcentral.
UACGUAGGGGGCAAGCGUUGUCCGGAAUCAUUGGGCGUAAAGCGCGUGUAGGCGGUUUGGUAAGUCUGCUGUGAAAGUCCAGGGCUCAACCCUGGGAAGCCGGUGGAUACUGUCAGACUAGAGUACGGAAGAGGCGAGUGGAAUUCCCGGUGUAGCGGUGAAAUGCGCAGAUAUCGGGAGGAACACCAAUUGCGAAGGCAGCUCGCUGGGACGUCACUGACGCUGAGACGCGAAAGCGUGGGGAGCAAACAGG